Molecule: ribosomal RNA, 253 nt
Filed under: uncultured bacterium
Lineage: Bacteria
Description: partial 16S ribosomal RNA
Rfam family: Bacterial small subunit ribosomal RNA
Source: RNAcentral
UACGUAGGUGACCAGCGUUGUCCGGAUUUACUGGGCGUAAAGAGCGCGCAGGCGGUCGUUCAAGUCGAGUGUGAAAGCCCCCGGCUCAACUGGGGAGGGUCACUCGAUACUGAUCGACUUGAAGGCAGGAGAGGGAAGCGGAAUUCCCGGUGUAGUGGUGAAAUGCGUAGAUAUCAGGAGGAACACCGGUGGCGAAGGCGGUUCUCUGGGCAUGUCCUGACGCUGAGGAGCGAAAGUGUGGGGAGCGAACAGG